CUUUUGUAGUAAUACGAGAGUAUCCUAGUGGGGAACGGGUGAGUAUCGCGUUGGUGACCUACCCCAAAGUCUGGGAUAACAGUUCGAAAGGACUGCUAAUACCGGAUGUGGUCAUCGGGUUUAGAAACCGAUGUCUAAAGGAUUUAUUCGCUUUGGGAGGGGCCUGCGUCCCAUCAGCUAGUUGGUAAGGUAACGGCUUACCAAGGCGACGACGGGUAGGGGACCUCAGAGGGUGGCCCCCCACAAUGGAACUGAAACACGGUCCAU
Molecule: ribosomal RNA, 267 nt
Filed under: uncultured bacterium
Lineage: Bacteria
Description: partial 16S ribosomal RNA
Rfam family: Bacterial small subunit ribosomal RNA
Source: RNAcentral